This is a non-coding RNA of Solanum lycopersicum (tomato), 622 nucleotides long. The record is from RefSeq and is a predicted model, not a curated record. NCBI's taxonomy places the organism in Eukaryota, Viridiplantae, Streptophyta, Magnoliopsida, Solanales, Solanaceae.
AACAACUGCUAACAUGGUUUCUAGCCCAAGAUAUUCUGAGAGAGUCCUGGAUUUGAGAGAUUUAGAUACAAAUGUCAGUCAUAAUACAGUGAACUUCUAAAUUUCUUUUGGUUAGUACAAUGAACUUCCAUUAUAUGGUUACUUUUUUGUAAAGAAAAGGCACUAAGGCCAAACUCAACCCCCAAAAUGUAUCUCAUGAGGGGAAGAUUGCCCAUGCCUGUAUAUGCAAACCACACAUUCAUUACCUAACUAAUGAAGGACUAUUUAGUACAACCCAACAAAGAGAGAACUUUUAAAUACCAACUAACAAUCUACACUAAUCUGCGACCUCCAAACCCUAAUUACUCUAAGCAUACCUAUGACAAAUUCAAAUAUCGGAUGGUAUUAAACUUUUUAUCUCAAGUCUUCACCAUCAUGCAGCCACAAUUUUCAUCUUGAUUGGGACAGAGUGAACAAGUGCUAUAAUCUCUUGAACAUGGACUAGUAUAGAAAGUGGAUUCAUACAAAACUCAUUUCUUUUUUCUUCUUUAUCUUUUUUUUAAAAAAAAAAGAUAAAGAAGAAAAAAGAAAUGAGCUUUGUAUGAGUCCACUUUCUAUACUAGUCCAUGUUCAAGAGAUUAUA